CCUACUUGUGCUGCUCUUCAGUAUAGCAGGGAGAAGACAGAGCUGGAUGUGUGGAUGAAAGGAACAUUCAAAAACAGAGACACUGUGUCCCUCCGUAAGUGAGUCCAUCCUUCAAUAGGCCUUGAUAGAACCUACAGUUUGUAGCUGGGCAUUUGGCUGUCUGGAAUUAAGAUUACAUUUCCCAACUUCUCUUUUGACAAGG
This is a long non-coding RNA of Chinchilla lanigera (long-tailed chinchilla), 202 nucleotides long. RefSeq lists it as uncharacterized. NCBI's taxonomy places the organism in Eukaryota, Metazoa, Chordata, Mammalia, Rodentia, Chinchillidae. The transcript has 3 exons. The record is from RefSeq and is a predicted model, not a curated record.